UGGACGCUGGCGGCAGGCCUAACACAUGCAAGUCGAACGGUAACAGGAAGCAGCUUGCUGUUUCGCUGACGAGUGGCGGACGGGUGAGUAAUGUCUGGGAAACUGCCUGAUGGAGGGGGAUAACUACUGGAAACGGUAGCUAAUACCGCAUAACGUCGCAAGACCAAAGAGGGGGACCCUCGGGCCUCUUGCCAUCGGAUGUGCCCAGAUGGGAUUAGCUUGUUGGUGGGGUAACGGCUCACCAAGGCGACGAUCCCUAGCUGGUCUGAGAGGAUGACCAGCCACACUGGAACUGAGACACGGUCCAGACUCCUACGGGAGGCAGCAGUGGGGAAUAUUGCACAAUGGGCGCAAGCCUGAUGCAGCCAUGCCGCGUGUAUGAAGAAGGCCUUCGGGUUGUAAAGUACUUUCAGCGGGGAGGAAGGGAGUAAAGUUAAUACCUUUGCUCAUUGACGUUACCCGCAGAAGAAGCACCGGCUAACUCCGUG
RNAcentral lists this ribosomal RNA (488 nucleotides) under uncultured bacterium. RNAcentral describes it as "partial 16S ribosomal RNA". It matches the Rfam family "Bacterial small subunit ribosomal RNA", at positions 30 to 507 of the family's 1533-position model. The record is from RNAcentral.